GACGGAGGAGGCUAGCAUUGUUCGGAAUUACUGGGCGUAAAGCGUACGCAGGUGGCGAAGCAAGUCGGAUGUGAAAGCCCGGGGCUCAACCCCGGAUGUGCAUCCGAUACUGUUUUGCUGGAGUCCGGAAGAGGAGAGCGGAAUUCCCAGUGUAGAGGUGAAAUUCGUAGAUAUUGGGAAGAACACCGGUGGCGAAGGCGGCUCUCUGGUCCGGUACUGACACUCAAGUACGAAAGCGUGGGGAGCAAACAGG
This 253-nucleotide ribosomal RNA is filed under the name uncultured bacterium. RNAcentral's name for it is "partial 16S ribosomal RNA". It matches the Rfam family "Bacterial small subunit ribosomal RNA", at positions 524 to 776 of the family's 1533-position model. The record is from RNAcentral.